GUAAAAAGUGAACAUGGGUCUAAGUUGGAUUACUAGAACUAUUUGAGUCUAUUUACUUCGUAUUUCUGCUUUCCUAAUCGUAAUGGAUUAUUGUACACUCAUUCAACUUGAGCGCAUAGAAAUUCACAAAUACUCAAAUAUCUCACUUUCACCCAAAGUAUAAUUUCCCUUUAAAAGAAUCUCCGCGUCAGACGUUUUUUUCUGACGUCAUGACGCACGAGCCCGAUUUCAACUUCUGUUUCUCAACUGACAGCCGCCAUUUUUUUCUCUCCGGACUCGGAUGAAAAAGAUGACAGGAGGUAACGUUAGUGAACCAGGAGCUCAGUGUCAGGAAUUUCAGGGCGAGGUGGCCUGCACUUUUCAGACAUUACGAGAUCAAUGCAGAGUUACAUAGGCUUAUGGAUGUUCCACUGGAAGACAUGUUCUUUGCACAGUUGGAUGUAUACAUGAGUCAACUAAUCAGAGUAAUCCGUUCCAAAGGAGGAGCAACCCCUGAGAAGACUGCUGCAAUUUUUCACAUAUUGGAUCAGACUGAAAACAUUCACGUGAAAAGAGAGUGUGUCCUGAAGGCCCUCAUCGUUUUCCUGGGGGGAAAUCCUUAAGGAGUAUCUUGAGAACCAGCAGAUGAUUGCGAGGGU
Carassius auratus (goldfish) is the source of this 638-nucleotide long non-coding RNA. RefSeq lists it as uncharacterized. The record is from RefSeq and is a predicted model, not a curated record. NCBI's taxonomy places the organism in Eukaryota, Metazoa, Chordata, Actinopteri, Cypriniformes, Cyprinidae. The transcript is spliced from 5 exons.